UACGUAGGGGGCUAGCGUUGUCCGGAAUCAUUGGGCGUAAAGCGCGCGUAGGCGGCCCGGUAAGUCCGCUGUGAAAGUCAAAGGCUCAACCUGUGAAUGUCAGCGGAUACUGCCGGGCUAGAGUCCGGAAGAGGCGAGUGGAACUCCUGGUGUAGCGGUGGAAUGCGCAGAUAUCAGGAAGAACACCGACGGCGAAGGCAGCUCGCUGGGACGGUACUGACGCUGAGGCGCGAAAGCGUGGGGAGCGAACAGG
This 253-nucleotide ribosomal RNA is filed under the name uncultured bacterium. Its description in RNAcentral is "partial 16S ribosomal RNA". It matches the Rfam family "Bacterial small subunit ribosomal RNA", at positions 524 to 776 of the family's 1533-position model. The record is from RNAcentral.